GCAGGCUGCAACUCGCCUGCAUGAAGUCGGAAUUGCUAGUAAUGGCAGGUCAGCAUACUGCCGUGAAUACGUUCCCGGGCCUUGUACACACCGCCCGUCACACCAUGAGAGUUGGGAAUACCCGAAGCCUGUGAGCUAACUAAUAGAGGCAGCAGUCGAAGGUAGAAUCAAUGAUUGGGGUGAAGUCGUAACAAGGUAGC
This 200-nucleotide ribosomal RNA is filed under the name uncultured bacterium. Its description in RNAcentral is "partial 16S ribosomal RNA". It matches the Rfam family "Bacterial small subunit ribosomal RNA", at positions 1300 to 1500 of the family's 1533-position model. The record is from RNAcentral.